GACGAACGCUGGCGGCGUGCUUAACACAUGCAAGUCGAACGGAAAGGCCCUGCUUGCAGGGUGCUCGAGUGGCGAACGGGUGAGUAACACGUGGGUGAUCUGCCCCUUACUUUGGGAUAAGCCUGGGAAACUGGGUCUAAUACUGGAUAGGACCAUGCUGUAGGUGGUGUGGUGGAAAGAUUAGUUUCGGUAAGGGAUGAGCUCGCGGCCUAUCAGCUUGUUGGUGGGGUAAUGGCCUACCAAGGCGUCGACGGGUAGCCGGCCUGAGAGGGUGGACGGCCACAUUGGGACUGAGAUACGGCCCAGACUCCUACGGGAGGCAGCAGUGGGGAAUAUUGCACAAUGGGCGCAAGCCUGAUGCAGCGACGCCGCGUGGGGGAUGACGGCCUUCGGGUUGUAAACUCCUUUCAGCCAUGACGAAGCCCUUGUGGUGACGGUAGUGGUAGAAGAAGCACCGGCUAGCUACGUG
This 469-nucleotide ribosomal RNA is filed under the name uncultured bacterium. Its description in RNAcentral is "partial 16S ribosomal RNA". It matches the Rfam family "Bacterial small subunit ribosomal RNA", at positions 28 to 507 of the family's 1533-position model. The record is from RNAcentral.